Molecule: ribosomal RNA, 546 nt
Filed under: uncultured bacterium
Lineage: Bacteria
Description: partial 16S ribosomal RNA
Rfam family: Bacterial small subunit ribosomal RNA
Source: RNAcentral
UGGGGAAUUUUGGACAAUGGGGGAAACCCUGAUCCAGCCAUCCCGCGUGUGCGAUGAAGGCCUUCGGGUUGUAAAGCACUUUUGGCAGGAAAGAAACGUCGCGGGUUAAUACCCCGCGGAACUGACGGUACCUGCAGAAUAAGCACCGGCUAACUACGUGCCAGCAGCCGCGGUAAUACGUAGGGUGCAAGCGUUAAUCGGAAUUACUGGGCGUAAAGCGUGCGCAGGCGGUUCGGAAAGAAAGAUGUGAAAUCCCAGAGCUUAACUUUGGAACUGCAUUUUUAACUACCGGGCUAGAGUGUGUCAGAGGGAGGUGGAAUUCCGCGUGUAGCAGUGAAAUGCGUAGAUAUGCGGAGGAACACCGAUGGCGAAGGCAGCCUCCUGGGAUAACACUGACGCUCAUGCACGAAAGCGUGGGGAGCAAACAGGAUUAGAUACCCUGGUAGUCCACGCCCUAAACGAUGUCAACUGACUGUUGGGGUCUUCGGACCUUGGUAGCGCAGCUAACGCGUGAAGUUGACCGCCUGGGGGAGUACGGUCGCAAGA